GAUGAACGCUGGCGGUAUGCUUAACACAUGCAAGUCGAACGGACUCUUCGGAGUUAGUGGCGGACGGGUGAGUAACGCGUGAGAAUCUGGCUUUGGGUUCGGGGCAACCACUGGAAACGGUGGCUAAUACCGGAUGUGCCGAGAGGUAAAAGAGAAAUUGCCUGAAGAUGAGCUCGCGUCUGAUUAGCUAGUUGGUGAGGUAAAGGCUCACCAAGGCAGCGAUCAGUAGCUGGUCUGAGAGGAUGACCAGCCACACUGGGACUGAGACACGGCCCAGACUCCUACGGGAGGCAGCAGUGGGGAAUUUUCCGCAAUGGGCGAAAGCCUGACGGAGCAAUACCGCGUGAGGGAAGAAGGCUCUUGGGUUGUAAACCUCUUUUCUUAGGGAAGAACAAAAUGACGGUACCUAAGGAAUCAGCAUCGGCUAACUCCGUG
This 435-nucleotide ribosomal RNA is filed under the name uncultured bacterium. RNAcentral describes it as "partial 16S ribosomal RNA". It matches the Rfam family "Bacterial small subunit ribosomal RNA", at positions 28 to 507 of the family's 1533-position model. The record is from RNAcentral.